RNAcentral lists this unclassified non-coding RNA (2393 nucleotides) under Drosophila yakuba. Its description in RNAcentral is "GE27932". The record is from RNAcentral. Lineage: Eukaryota; Metazoa; Arthropoda; Insecta; Diptera; Drosophilidae.
AGUUGCCGCACGGUCACACUCGAAAAUUGUUUGCCCGCGCGAGGUGCUGCGUUUCAUUUCGGCUCGCAUCGGAAACACAAAAAAAUCUCUUAGCCGCCGGGAAAAUCGCGAAACAAUAUUGGGUUUUUUGUGAAAAAAUCAAGAAAAAUAUUGUCAACACAUUUUCCUAAGAUAACAACAAACAAAUGUGCGUGUGAAACAAUUGGCGACAACAACAAAUCGUGCACCCCAGACAGCCAGUGUGCGAGAGCGAGAGACCGUGAGAGGUGGUCGUGCGUCCCUCUCCAACACACACACUGAAUCGGCGCCGACGACGCGUACGCAACAAACGAAAAUAAAACGCAAGCGAAAAGGAGAGAGAAAGAACAAAUAACGCCCACCGUAACACCCCCCGCGAAUAAGAAGAAGAAGAAGCAGCAGAGAAGCUAAAGCAGAGAAAGACGAAGAAGCAGCAGCAAAAGCAGACGGCAGAAUUGGAGCUUUGCGCAGAAAUCGAUUUUUUUGCCCAUUUUAAGAGAUUUUCGGUAGCCUCUCCCACUGCCGAAAAUCGUUUAUCGCUGCGUCCGUGUCUGUGUGUGUGUUCGUGCGUGUGCCUGUGCGAAAGUGAAACAAACAAAUACAACAGGCAAAAGAUUAAAAUUAUAUAGUACCAGUGUGAGUCACAAAUAAAAAGAAGAAAAAAAAACAUAAAAAAGAAAAAAUUAAUUCAGCAGCAGCUUUAGCUUUUUAGCUGCUGGCAUUGAAGAGGUGCUCUGCCGCAGUCAACGUCGCUGCCGCCGCCCGCAACACGCGCUCUCUUUGCCUCUCUCUCCGUUUCUCUUGUGAGCGAAAUAACACCACACACACGUAAAAAAAAGCAUAAUAAUAUUAACCAAAACGCCAGCCAAAGUGCCAGUUAAGUUAUAAUUAUACACUACAAGUAAACCGAGAAAAGAGAGAGCUGCCAGCCAAAAGCGGAAAAUCAAUAAAAGGUCUCUCGCAAAAGUGGAAAAACGUGCAAACAAGUUAAAAGCAAGGCUGCAAAAAAGAAAAAGGAAAAACUCCGCGCGCGUUUACACGUGUGGUUUAUGUGUGUGCGUGUUUAACGUUUAACUGCUAAUCGCAAAAACGCAAUCUGCGAAGACCGCGUAACAAAGGCUUACGUAAAGCUUGGCAAAGAGGAAAAAAACCAAAUAACAACAACGAAGCAUAAAAAACAAUAUAUCCAAAAUCCAACAAAUUGAGAAACUCAACAGAAAACAAGGAUAGUCCCAGAAACUAGAAUCAAAUUCGCGCAACAAAUAAUACACCGAGAAUAACCUUCUCGCGCACCCUUCAAAAAGCAGGAUAACACCCCGACACAAAGAUGACUAAAGACAGAUUAGCCGCUCUCCAUGCCGCCCAAUCCGAUGACGAGGAGGAGACGGAGGUGGCCGUCAAUGUGGAUGGCCAUGAUUCCUACAUGGACGACUUCUUUGCCCAGGUGGAGGAGAUACGCGGCAUGAUCGACAAGGUGCAGGACAAUGUCGAGGAGGUGAAGAAGAAGCACUCGGCCAUCCUGUCCGCCCCGCAAACGGACGAGAAGACCAAGCAAGAGCUGGAGGAUCUGAUGGCCGACAUCAAGAAGAAUGCCAAUCGCGUGCGGGGCAAGCUCAAGGGCAUCGAGCAGAAUAUCGAGCAGGAGGAGCAGCAGAACAAGUCGUCGGCGGAUCUGAGAAUCCGGAAGACGCAGCACUCGACGUUGUCACGGAAAUUCGUCGAGGUGAUGACCGAAUACAAUCGCACGCAGACCGAUUACCGGGAGCGCUGCAAGGGAAGGAUACAGCGUCAGCUGGAGAUCACCGGACGACCGACCAACGACGAUGAGCUGGAGAAGAUGCUGGAGGAGGGCAACUCGUCUGUGUUCACGCAGGGCAUCAUCAUGGAGACGCAGCAGGCCAAACAGACGCUGGCGGACAUUGAGGCUCGCCACCAGGACAUCAUGAAGCUGGAGACAUCGAUCAAGGAGCUGCACGACAUGUUCAUGGACAUGGCCAUGCUGGUGGAGUCGCAGGGCGAGAUGAUCGAUCGCAUUGAGUACCAUGUGGAGCACGCUAUGGACUAUGUGCAGACGGCAACUCAGGACACCAAGAAGGCGCUCAAGUACCAGAGUAAAGCCCGACGAAAGAAGAUCAUGAUACUGAUCUGCCUCACUGUGCUGGGCAUCUUAGCGGCCUCAUAUGUUAGCAGUUAUUUCAUAUAAAUAGCUAACUCGGACAUUCUCAAUGGAGAUGAUAAUGCGAAACGAAAACAUGGCAAGUUGAGGAAGUUAAUGGAAUGCCGACUUUAAAGGGAAUCCAAGCAUCCAAGUAGCAUGCUCCUCAUCAAGGCCUAUAAUCUGCAUUAUCUACACACGUUUUGUAGUACAAUUCAGG